GGACUACCAGGGUUUCUAAUCCCGUUUGCUCCCCUGGCUUUCGCGCCUCAGCGUCAGAAGAGGUCCAGCGUGCCGCCUUCGCCACCGGAGUUCCAGAUGAUAUCAACGCAUUUCACCGCUCCACCAUCUGUUCCGCACGCCCCUACCUCCCUCGAGACACGCAGUAUCCACGGCAGUUCCCCGGUUGGGCCGGGGGAUUUCACCACAGACUUACAUGCCCGCCUACGCGCCCUUUAAGCCCAGUGAUUCCGAACAACGUUCGCACGGUUCGUCUUACCGCGGCUGCUGGCAC
RNAcentral lists this ribosomal RNA (292 nucleotides) under uncultured Planctomycetota bacterium. RNAcentral's name for it is "uncultured planctomycete partial 16S ribosomal RNA". The record is from RNAcentral. Lineage: Bacteria; Pseudomonadati; Planctomycetota.